GAUGAACGCUGGCGGCGUGCCUAAUACAUGCAAGUCGAGCGAACAGACGAGGAGCUUGCUCCUCUGACGUUAGCGGCGGACGGGUGAGUAACACGUGGAUAACCUACCUAUAAGACUGGGAUAACUUCGGGAAACCGGAGCUAAUACCGGAUAAUAUAUUGAACCGCAUGGUUCAAUAGUGAAAGACGGUUUUGCUGUCACUUAUAGAUGGAUCCGCGCCGCAUUAGCUAGUUGGUAAGGUAACGGCUUACCAAGGCAACGAUGCGUAGCCGACCUGAGAGGGGGAGCGGCCCCACUGGAGCUGAGACACGGUCCAGACUCGUACGGGAGGCAGGAGUAGGGAAUCUUCCGCAAGGGGCGAAAGCCUGACGGAGCAACGCCGCGUGAGUGAUGAAGGUCUUCGGAUCGUAAAACUCUGUUAUUAGGGAAGAACAAAUGUGUAAGUAACUAUGCACGUCUUGACGGUACCUAAGCAGAAGGCCACGGCUAACUACGU
RNAcentral lists this ribosomal RNA (496 nucleotides) under uncultured bacterium. Its description in RNAcentral is "partial 16S ribosomal RNA". It matches the Rfam family "Bacterial small subunit ribosomal RNA", at positions 28 to 506 of the family's 1533-position model. The record is from RNAcentral.